Molecule: ribosomal RNA, 636 nt
Filed under: Leptastrea sp. GL-2002
Lineage: Eukaryota; Metazoa; Cnidaria; Anthozoa; Scleractinia; Leptastreidae
Description: eukaryotic LSU rRNA
Rfam family: Eukaryotic large subunit ribosomal RNA (bases 1-280)
Source: RNAcentral
CUAACAAGGAUUCCCCCAGUAACGGCGAGUGAAGCGGGAUGAGCUCAAAUUUGAAAUCUCCGGUGCUUGCGANNCGAGUUGUAGUUGCGAGAAGCACUUUCUCGGCGGAUCGGCGGCGCCUAAGUUGCUUGGAACAGCAUGUCGCAGAGGGUGACAACCCCGUCUGUGGCGCGGCCGGCCGCUCACGAUGUGCUUUCGAAGAGUCGGGUUGUUUGGGAAUGCAGCCCAAAAUGGGUGGUAAACUCCAUCUAAAGCUAAAUAUUGGCGUGAGACCGAUAGCGAAGGAAACGAAUGGACUCAGCAAUGCGCCGUUUGAGAUUCAGCCGGUGGGCGGAUCGGCGCGGGGUUUGCGGAUCUGAAUGGACCGCGGCUCCGGGCUCGUUUUCCCCCGCCGUCGCACUUCUCUUGGGCGCACGUCAACGUCGGUUGGAACUGGGUUUGAAAGGCGCUGGGAAGGUAGGUCUGGUCCUUCGGGUCCGGACUGUUACAGCCCGGUGUUCUCAUGGCUCGGGUCCGACCGAGGAGUCGCAGCGCAUGCCUCUUGUGGCUAGGGUCCCGUCCUUCCGGCCGGUUGUCGAAUGCGGUGGACUGCUUGCAGUGCUCCGUGACUGCUGCCGGUCGUUGGGGUGGUGAUCU